RNAcentral lists this ribosomal RNA (468 nucleotides) under uncultured bacterium. RNAcentral's name for it is "partial 16S ribosomal RNA". It matches the Rfam family "Bacterial small subunit ribosomal RNA", at positions 28 to 507 of the family's 1533-position model. The record is from RNAcentral.
GACGAACGCUGGCGGCGUGCUUAACACAUGCAAGUCGAACGGAAAGGCCCUGCUUUUGUGGGGUGCUCGAGUGGCGAACGGGUGAAUAACACGUGAGUAACCUGCCCUUGACUUUGGGAUAACUUCAGGAAACUGGGGCUAAUACCGGAUAGGAGCUCCUGCUGCAUGGUGGGGGUUGGAAAGUUUCGGCGGUUGGGGAUGGACUCGCGGCUUAUCAGCUUGUUGGUGGGGUAGUGGCUUACCAAGGCUUUGACGGGUAGCCGGCCUGAGAGGGUGACCGGCCACAUUGGGACUGAGAUACGGCCCAGACUCCUACGGGAGGCAGCAGUGGGGAAUAUUGCACAAUGGGCGGAAGCCUGAUGCAGCAACGCCGCGUGCGGGGUGACGGCCUUCGGGUUGUAAACCGCUUUCGCCUGUGACGAAGCGUGAGUGACGGUAAUGGGUAAAGAAGCACCGGCUAACUACGUG